Long non-coding RNA from Sciurus carolinensis (gray squirrel), 13986 nucleotides. RefSeq lists it as uncharacterized. The transcript is spliced from 3 exons. The record is from RefSeq and is a predicted model, not a curated record. NCBI's taxonomy places the organism in Eukaryota, Metazoa, Chordata, Mammalia, Rodentia, Sciuridae.
GUUGUGUUUGGUACGGGAACUGAAUCCAGGGGUGCUCUACCACUGACCUACACCCCAACCCUCCCCUUUCUGAUAUUUUUGUUUUAGUCAUGGGUGGACACAGUACCUCUGGUGCUGAGGAUGGAACCCAAGGCCUCACGCAUGCUAGGUGAGCGCUCUACCACUGAGCCCUGACCCCAGCCCUCUCUAAGAAUGUGGCGUGCCUUGCUACGUUGCCAAGGCUGCAACACUCCUGCCCCAGCCUUCUGAGUCGCUGGGGUCACAGGUGGGCACCACUGCACCCUGCUGGGAGUAGUCAGUUUUGAGAAUAAUUAGGUUUUUUAACCCUGUGGAUGUAACGUGGACUUGACGGAUUGGAGCAGCAGGUGGCUGCCCAGGUGUGUUUGGAGCUGGAGGCCUGUGCUCCCCUGCCCAGGAGUGACCUUCAGCAAGGGGCGUCCAGUGUUCAGGGACCUCACCACAUCCAGCCCACAGCUCCUUGGCUAGUACAGAAGCCCUCGUGUUCCUGGUGCACUACUGCCCUGGGGACGCCUGCCCACGGCCCACAUAGUCCUGUGGGUAGAGGGUGCUGUCAGCUCAGGUGGGUGGCUGCCUGCAGGGGGCCUCUUGGGAUAGAGGGAUCACCCUUCACUUGUUGCCCUGUGCUCUUUGGACAUAAUCAUCACUUGGAUUUGGGCUUCCCUGUAACCUGUCUGCCCUGUGUGAUCCCUGACCAGGUGACGUCCACAGCAGGGGAGAUUCCCUUCCUGGGCCCUUAUUCCUUCUUAUCAUGCCACCAUAAGACUACCGGGAGUAGUUGCCCAUCAGCUCCUGCCAACUGCCCCCUUCUCCUAAGGGUAGCCUUUCCAGGGCCACUGAGUGUGGCUGGACUCUGCAGCUCUUCUGGCUGUGCCCCAGUCCCCUGGGUACUCGUCCUGAGAGUGAGAGUCGGGGUUCCUUCUCCGCAAACCCACGCUCACUCGGGCAGGACACAUGGGCCCAAGUGCCCUGCUGGUGGUGAGUGCAGGGCAGCAUGUGGGUUCUGGAGGCACCGACACUCCCUUGGAGCCUUUUCCCGAUGCUUGAGGCCCCAGGACUCCCUUCAGCACCAGCGCAGGGUAAGUUCUAAAGGCUCCACCCCUGCGGGAUACUCGAUGGCAGACGGGGGAUUCCAUCUGUCACCAACUUUGGGGUGCCCUUAGAAAGUCCUGGCCUGCAGGAAACGUGGGGCACUGGGCUGCAAAACCCGCCACCCACCCCCAGGAAUUUAAGCCAUUUUCUGCCCCAGAGACUGAACCCAGGGCUGCAUGGGCACUCUGCUGGGCCCUCGGUCCUUGCGCUCUGGGGAGGUCUCCGGGGUGGGGCAGCAUUGGUUCACCACGAGGCGGAGCGCCCUCGUGAGCACUGCCAGGCACCAGCUCCUGUCUGACCUCAAUUGCGCAGCAUGACGCCUGCGGAGAAGCAGGCAGAGGCCGUGGCUGCAGCCACGAAGGGUAGGUGGCCGCCCUGGAGCAGCUGCUCCCAGCUGCCUCCUGAGGUGUCCCUGUGUCACCUGUCUGUUGCCCAUCUGUCCAUGGGCCCUGGAACUUCCAUGGAAGUUGUCUCCUAGGGAGGCUGCACCCUCCUGGUUCUCUGGGACCAGCAGGCAGCCACCCUCUCAGGUUGGCCAGUAGGGGCCUGUGCCUGGCCUUCCAGCUCAGAAUGUUCCUGCCCACCCCAAGGCUCAGACCCCUGUGGGAGCUGCACCACAGGCUGUGGAGGCCUAACCAGCACCUGGCUUUCCAAGGAGAGCCAGCCCCAUGGCACGGAGAAGAGCCGGCUCAGGAUGGGAUGAUGUCCUGUGCACUCUGGUGGUGGCUGGAUUCACCGUGUUCUCUGGCACGUUACAUGCGCUGUGGGGAGGCUUCCGAGCGUCUUGUCUCCUGGCGAGGCUCCGGAGGGUGGCAGGGGCUUGGGGGCCCUGCCUUGUGUGGAACUGUUGAGGGAGGAAGACGUCGGGGCCGGGCUUGGGCCUCCCUAGUGCAGAGCCCUUGAGAAGGUAUGGAGGCUGGUCUGAGGAUUCUGAUUCCCCAGCACUGGGCUCAGGGGCAUACUGUCCCCUCGUCCACCAGCCUCUGACCUCUGCAGGCCACCAGUUCGGCUGGUGACUUGUGCUAAGACCUUAGUGUCAGGUCCCUUCCUGACCCUGGUGGCUCCAGCUGCACACUGUCUUAGCCACCCCUUUGACCUCUGCUUUGAAAGGCUGCCUUUCUCCAUUCUGAGCACAGUGCAAGCAGCUCCAGGGAGUGGCCUAGAGGCAUAGGCUUAGUGUGGGACAGGAAGGCCACCACCAGCAGUAACUAGGGCUCCACACCUGGAAAGACACCAGUACUACGGCUGGAAAACUCCCACAGCCCCUGUCUGGCAGCUUCCAUCUCAGAGUGCGUUCAGAGCUUGCCAGGUGUGGGCUAAAGCACUUUGCUACAUAAACUGCACCCUGCUCACCUCUACUUCCGGAGGCCUGCACUUGGCUCCCUGAACCCUUCUUUUGGUUCUGGGGAUUGAACCUUUGACACUGAGGCACACCCCCAGCCCUUUUUAUUUUUGAGACAAGAUGUCCAGGCUGGCCUCCAGCUUGGUGACUCCUGCCUCAGCCUCCCGAGUCGCUGGGAUUACAGGUAUGCGACACUGCACCUGGCUUAUGCUUUAGCUUUCCUAGCAGUUUCUUGUAAGCUGAAUUCCAUGGAACCAUGCAGGCUCUUGCCAGAAGGGAUGCGGACAGACAGGGACAUUCACUGAGGCUAGAGUUCUGGCAUGGACUUCCCCUCACUGACCUGAUGGUGUGUGGGCUGGUACUGCAUAUGUGACCAGAACUGAGCCCUUAUCAGCUGAUGUAAAUUUUAUUCUCCAACAAAUGGCACAUUUUCUAGGCAUCCUGGUCCUCACCUGGAAGGUCAGACCUUGGUGUGGUGCCUACUUCUGUGGGAACACCGUCUCUCCCCAGGGGCCUGCCUGGUCUGGGCCAGGGCAGCCCAUGAGCUCAGGGCCUUACCACCAGAUUCUGGGUGAGAAGCCCUUAUCCUUUCCUCAGUGCUGGCUUUGCUGACCUGCUGGGGCCGGAGCCCCAAUUACACCUCUGUCUGCAGAUUGCUCCCUGGGGCCUGAUCCUCAGCCCCACCUUGGGCUUGGCCUGCUCGCUGCCCGCUGGUCUUCCCGGCACACAACUUCAGGGUGGAUCAAUCACCCAACGUCAGAUUCUUAAAAAAGAAAAAGGCCCUGGUGAGACGGGAGAGGAAGACAGGUGGGACAGGUACCCUGCACGGAUGCGGCCAGAGCAGCCCUGGCUGGCAGACUCACCAUCCUUCCUGGCUACGGCUCCCGCCACUUCUUCCCAUUGAGCACCUGCAGCUUCUCCAGGCUCUGGGUCACUGAGCACAGUGCUCGUCCUGAGGAGGUGACAGGGCAGUCUGUGCUCUGCAGCAGGGAGGAAGGGGAACUGGGGACACCAGGAAUUGACAACCUUAAGCUUCUCUUGCCGAGGCUGAGGCACAUGAACUGACAGGGCAUGGCCUGCCCCACAGCAGUAAUACCCCAGCCACAAGGCCGGCUUUAGGGUGGAGAUGCUUAAACCCGCUUUCCCUGGGAAGGGCUCCCUCUGCCUCCCUCCCACCAAAGUCUGGUGCCCAGGUGGGGCGAGGCCUUGCUGCCCUUGUGAAGACUCACCCAUCUCAUGGACACAGUCUUCCAGGGCUCCUGACAGCUCAGGGAGGCUCAUGGCCUGCAGGGAUGCAUGCCAGCCUUUGGAGUCUGUAAUACAGAGGGCUGUGAUGUUCCGGGGUGUGUCCCCACAGGCUCUGCGUUUGUUCUGAGCUCUAAUGACCAGGAGACCCUCCUUACCCAACUGCUGUUAUGAGAGUAAUCCCCAAAGGCUGAGGCAGGGGUGCCCUGUGCCUGUCAUGUACCUCCCAAAUUGGGAGUCCAUGAGACUUUUUCGAAAGACCCAUGACCUCCCACUUGCUGACUGAAGCACUAAUUGCUGGUUGGGAGGUGGGACCAGCUUAGGACCCAGGUGGAGUGCAGAAGUCACUAGAGGGUUUGAACAACCCAUUGGCCACAAAGGGGCCUUUCUCAAUACUGCACUGACUGCGCCUCCUCCCAACAGGGGAUGGGCAUCCCCCUCAGCAGUGAGAAAGUUCUCUGGAGAACCGUUUCCAGGACAUCAGCAUGCUGCGGGACCUAGGUGGGUAAGCUGCUGCUGUGAAAGCCACCGAAAGAUUGCAGGAUGAACCCCGGUUUGGGGGAUUCCUUGCCUACCCCUCUGCCCCACCGUAGAGGCAAGCUGCUGCUGUCUCCUUACCUGCCAGUGGGCAGUCUGGGUCCAGGGUGGUCGCACUAUACGGCUGGUCCUGCCUCAUUCGGGCUGACAGCUCAGCUUGACAGGCUCUGCCAGACGCAAAACCAGAUGCUAGUGAGGCAGAGGCCUCCCCCAAAGCCUCUCUACCCUAACCCCAAGGGUAAGGAGAGCUGUCCUGUCCCCCCAGCUGUUGGCAAGCACCCCAGGAAAGCCACACUGCUGAGCAGGAGAGAAACAGCCCCUCUUGCUACCUGGGUCUACCCUGCUGAAGCCAGAGCCAAAGCAGAACAGGUGGGGACACUAAGUAACCUGGGCCUGAAACCCGCCCCUGGCUUAAAGAAUUAGGAAGGGGUGAUGGCUGGCACCAACGCCCCCCAAGAGCAAGCUCCUCUGCAGUCUGGCAGACAGAUGAAAGGACCUGCCCCAGGGACACUCUGAGCCCACUCACCGCAGCUGCUCCAAGACAAGGCCAGCGCCCUGGGCCAGCGCCCAGGUCUCCUGCAGCUGGGUGUGGAUGUCUUUACGGGCACCAUCCUGCUCCAACAGGCAGCUCUCCACCACUGCCCGCAACUCCUGCUCCUGGGACACCUGACCACGCAUGGCCUCCACCUCCUCGCAGCGCUGCAGGGAGAGAGCUGAGGCUGGAGGGGCGAAGCAAGAGGGAGCAGAGGCCCCUGGGGCUUGGGCAGGGCUUCCCUAUGGGGCCUGGGCCUGGGCCUGGGCCUGAGCCUGUCUGCAUCUCUGAGCUGCUGGGCAUGGCUCCCUUGGUCCCUCCGUUUACAACCCUAGUUUCCUCAGAGCUGCCUGUCCUUUGGUCCUCACCCUUAGUGGCUCUUCUCUCCUUGUGUCCACCUGACCUCCUCCCUUCCACGUCUCCUCGGAACCUCCUGCCUGUGUGGCAGCAUCCACUUGUGUGUCUGGUGGCUUCCCCUGGUUGACGCUGGGUCCUGCCCCGCCCCCUGCCCAUGCCCAGGGUGCGACCUAGGCACUGCUCGGCCACGCUGGCACACACCCUCUCCCUGCUCCCCCUGCCUUGUGCAGCUGGAUGGCGAGCUCCUGCAUCUCCGCCUCCAGCCGGUCAGCAUAGGCCAGCUCCAGGGCAUCGCUUGGGGGGCGGGCACUGCUGUGCCAGCGGGCAAUGGCAGAGGUCAUCUUCCUUUUGGGCCCAAACAACCUGCAGGGGUCAGAGAAGGAUGCACGUCAGCACGUGCUACACUCACACGGACUCCACGAGCCAACCUGCUGCCAAGGCCGUCCCCUAGGGAACUCUUGGCUCUGAAGGAUCGCCCUGGGACCCUGGGGCAGAGUACAGAAACAGCUUCCAAAAGUCUCUGCUGCUGGUCCCCCUGUGGAUAAGAGUGUCUAUCUGCUCAUGAAACUCUCAGAAGUGAGCCCAGAGGAUUCCAGGUCACCAGCAAUCUGUCUCCCCACUCAGACACCUGUACUGGCAUAAUGUGAGUAGCUGUCUUGGAGCUCUGGAGCUACAGAAGGCCCUGUGCCAAGUGCAGUCAGUUUAAGUUCAUCUCCUAGCACAAUGGCAAUUACCCAGGCCCAGCCUCUUACCCCUGCAGCUAACAGCAACCAGGGUGGGCAGUGCAGAUCCUGUCCUCCAAAGAUCAGAGACGUGGAGGCCAUGGCCAUGCUGCAAGCCCUGACCCACAAGCUGGCUAAAGUGACUCCCAAGGGGCUUUAAAGGGUGGUACCUUCUUGUUUUUCUGUUAGUCAGUUAAAACUAGGACAUUCAAAAGCAACUUCAUGUACAAGAAAAACAAGAAAAUCACUACAUAUACCUACAAGGUGGCACAGGCUCAGAAAAAGCCUGAGAAGCCCACAGCAAAAAAAGUAACAAAAACAGCUAACAAGGAAUAUUUCCAAAGUUACCACGAUAUGAGACUCAAAUGUCUUGUUUCGAAUGACAAAAAAAAAAACACAGGACAAAGACAAUAAAAAACCAAGACACCGUCCCUGAAUGAAACCUGACAUAUUCUACUAGACAAAGACUUUUGAACAACUAUCUUAAAGAUGCUCAGCGGUCUAAGCUAAAAGAUGUAGAAGUCAAAACAAAAUAAAACUAUUAACAGAGAAACUGAAAAAGAGACGAGCAGAAAAGCACAAUAACUGCGAUAAUAAAUUCACUGGAGGGAUUCAAAGGCAGAUUCGAGCAAUGGAAAUCAUUUAAUCUGAGAAACAAAAAAGACUGAAGGAAGGUGAAGAGAGGCUGUGAGACACCAUCCGGGUGCCCACAUUCACACCGCGGGAGUCCCAGGAGAGAGGAAGGCGACAGGAGAGCAUCUGAAGAACUAAUGGCUGAAACAUUCCAAACUUGAUCACAGACGCGAGUAAACAUCCAAGAAGGUCCGUGUGCUACACCCGGUGACACCAAGACACGCACUCUCAGAAGGCAGAUCCUGGAAGCAGCAAAAGUGAAGCAGCUCACCCACCAUACAUAAGAGAUCCUCAAUAGAAUCACCGUCAGGUGUCUCACCACAAAUCCGGAGGCCACCAGGCUGCUAUAUUUGAAGUGCCAAAGGAGAAAACAGGCAGCCAAGAAUCCUUUAUCUGAAAAACUCCUUUAAAAGUGAGGGGAAAAUUAAGACAUUCUGAGAUAAGUAAAAGUGGAGGGAAGAAGUAAAAGUGGAGGGACCUUCCUUCAAGGAAGACUCAGGGAGUCCUGCAGGGAAGCCAAGGACACGAGGCAAUGCCCGACAUGUGAGGAUAUAAAGAGCUCAAGCAGACAGCCCUGAUGCCAGAGUGGACGAGGAACAAGAGCGCUUCACUCACAGGAAUGAGGCGCUUCAAGAUACAAACUUCACCUGGAUGCACAAAGGAUGUUUCAAGACAAAAGACCUAAAUUAUUUGGCUUUUAUCUUAAAACAUUUCAUAUCCAAGCUCUUGAAAAAUAAGCCCAUGCUAUAAAUUACUACCUCUAGUGGAAAUGUGACAAUUAUUUGUACAAUUCUUAAUGUUCUGAUCAUUAGAAAAGUAAUAAAACCCUAAAUACAAAAUAAAAAUAAUAAUAAUUACCAAAGCUGGCAGAUAACAUCCAAGGGCCUUACAUAUAGGGGUAUCAUAGGGCCAUUGAGGGAGCAUAGGGCCAUUUGAGCAAGAGGGAAAGAGGACUCUGGAAGCAGAAGUCUAGUGUUGACGGUAGUUCUCUGCCUGCUGGGCUGAGUGCCAGGAAGCAAGAUGUAACCUGGUCCCAGAGUGUUUAGCUGAAACAAGGGGUCAGGGUCAGAAGUGGCCCUUAGGACUCACGUGAUGCCAAUCUCCUUCAGGUCGCUCUCGGUGAGGGUCAGGAAGAUGCGGAGGUCCACAUCCUGCUCCUCAAACACCUGCAGGUACUUCAGACAGCCAAUCUGCUCCAGCAGUGCUGCAAGGUCCUAAAGGGCCAAAGUGACAAGCAGGAGCAGAAGCUGGGGACAGGACCUGUUAGUGCCAGGCAGAACCACGCUCCUCCUUGCCCAACACACUUCCCUCAAGAUGCAACCUGGUCUGAAUCCAAUGAAUCCCCAAACUCAGCUCCAGGACAACUUGUCUGUGGGCGGAGUCCCACCCCCUGGCGUGCAGACCCUUGCUCUCGGGGUCUGGGAAGGCUAGGCUGCUCCUUACACAGCCUCCAUUCUGCCGUCCUGCAUAACACUGCACGUUGGUGUGCCUGACGCAUCAGAGGUUUCUGUUCAUAGCUCUUCGUUCUUGUUCCUCAGACAGCCUUUGUCAAUCUGCUGAUUCUUCUGCCUGCUCUAAUCUGCUACUGAACUCAGCUAGUGAAAUUUUAUUUCAGUUGCACUUUUCAACUCCAGAAUUUCUAUUUUGCAAGUUUCUGUUGCUCUGAAUGGAGGACCAAAGUUUCCAAGGUGGUGCUCCACCAUUUCCUAAAGACACAGACCUAAAGAUCCCACAGGACCAUCAACUCUCCAAUCAACGUGUGUGUGAGAACUGGAGGUGCACCAGGCCCCGGGGGACUCUGGAUGGCGCCAGCAAGGCUGCUGCACAGGGUAAUCCCUAGCUUGCUCCACAGGUGGCUGCUGCGCUUUUCAUCCUGUCCCGUCCUGCUGCCCCCACUGCACACACAUCUUGUCACUGACUUCUGGAAGCAGCUCUGAAUCUGUUCCCCAAGGCUGGGGAGGCCAAGUUGAUGUGGACGCUACGGGGAGAGAGUGCUCCUUUCCAGUGAAGAGGGGUGAAGAACGCUCCAUCUAGGCCGCUGACCGUCAGGGAGGUCAUCUGGGGAAAACCCACCAGCACUGUCCUCAACAGAGCCUGGCCUGUCACGUACGGAGAAGUGCCUCUCGGAUCACGAAGUGCUGCACUUCUCAGAGCGUAUCACCAGAUUCACAAGGUCUUACCUGGGGUCCUGUAUAGGAUGACCUCUCAGCUUGGGGCACAAAUCUUGGGGAACAGGAAGCUCCACAAGUCCCAGAGCAGGGAGGCCACUGGAUGUCGCCGGUGCUGUAACGAUUCUUGGUUUUCACAUAACUUUUGGUUUGUCUGCGAACAGAGCUUUUACGGACAUGAUCCGAAUCCUGUAGCAAGAAGUGUGUGUUGGGAGCAACUCCGCCCACGGGCCACAGCAGUGCCCUGCUCCCAGCCCCUCGGGCUUAGCGGUGCUCUCUGGACCUUUGCUGUGGCCUUAUAGGACAGGUCAGACCCGAAGCGCUGCCUCGAAUGCCCGCUGGCCUCACAGAGGCCUCCUGGGUGUGGAGGGGGCAGGCCAGGCAGUGCCUUUGGAGCACAGCAUAGACAUGCACUGAACACGUGUCAUCAGACUUGCUCAUCCCAAAUGGACUGUGAGGCACCCCAGGACCCUGAGGGAAGGAAGCAAGAUGGGGACAGGGAGACCUCACCUCAUUGCUCUCCAAGGAGGCUUCACUGCUGAGCCCCUGGGCUCUCGCCAGGCCCUCACUGCUGCUGCUUCGCACGGCCCCGAGGCUGGCACAGAAAGCAGGUUCCUCUGGUAAUGAGAAGACAGGAUGCCUGAGAGGCCUCACUGGUGGGGGCGGAGGGAACUCCCCAGAGCCUGACUGAGCUGGGUCAGCCAGCUCUCAAACUCCUGCCACGCUGAGCGCUGCUUCUGUUUCAUGCUGUGCAUCCUAAGGCACCCCUAUAAGGAUGGGCAGAUACUCGUCUUUUUUGUGCACUGAUAAAUCCCAAGCACCUAGAACAGCGCCAACUAAACACGUCUCCCCGCUGGAGAAUGGCUGUGAGGGCAUUCUAGCACCAGACUACAUGGGGACUCUGUUCCAGAAGCUCCUCCUCACCUGCCCCAGAGCAGACUCUGGUUCUCAUAAGAACCAGGGCCAUCUAUAUCUCAUUCUCAAGGGGAGCCCAGCAGGAUGGGUAGGGAGGUGUACCCCGGCUGCUGCUGCUGCUGCUUUCCACGUCCCGCUCAUUGAUGGGGGAGGUAACGUCCCGGUAGCAGAGGCCCUCGCCUUGCAGGGGGUUCUCGUCGCUGCUGGUGAAGGUCAUGUAGCCCCGUGGCGGCACCUGCUCUGUGUACAGACGGGGCAACAAACCCACAUGAGUGCAAGAGUGAAGACAGGCCCCUGUGCCAGAGGCAUCGCCUCAGUGGUUCUCAGGGUCAGGGACCAGGAUUCAGGCGGCAGGAGGGGACCUGUGGCCCUGGCUGUGGCUGUCAUCUGUGGUUUGCGGUGAGGAAAGAGGCUAUGUGGAGUGGACCCAGUGGCCAGAGCCUCUACUGUGCCCUCACUGCUGCUUUCUCAAGGGGAACAGUGAGAAAAGCCUCACCAGUAGGCAUCCCUACUAGCUGGGAACACCCAAUAACGUCCUCAGACCCACACGCAGCCCCUGCACCACGUGGUGUCCCCUGCGGCUUCUUUAAACAUGGGCAUUUAGAAGCCAUCAGUUCCCCUGAGUCAGUCAAGUCCAGUUAAAAGGAUACCUGGCUGAAAAAAGGAGAAAAAAGACCCUCGGCUAAGAACUAACAGCAGUGAUGCAAACCAGGACCCUGGAGCACACAGGUCCACUGGGCGGCAUGAGCACAUCUCUCAAAAACAGGAUCCAACCUCAAGAUGGAGCACAGCAGUCUUCGCUGGCCAGGAGGCAAAUUCACCUCCAGCCAGGGGAUGUAGGCAGUCAGGGAAGGCUCUUUACACUGUCCCUCCACUGUGGACACACUCAGUGACUGAAAUGGGAACUUAGCUUCACUUCCACAGUAAAAGAAAAAGUUCUAGUUUUACCCAAUGAAAAGGAGAUGAACCUGAACCCAAGAGCUAACCAGUGACCCACAUCCUCAUCACUGGGAGCAAUUCUGAAUCUCUCUGAGCAUCACCCACAGCAGCCUGAGGUCAGAGUUUAAGAGCUGUCCCAUCCCUGUCAAGACAGAGGCCAGAGAAGCAACACCAAGAGUCCUCUGGAAGCGUGGACUGCUCACCACAGCGGGGCUGCGGGGCCUCGCCUCCUCGUCCAGCUGCUGUGAUCCUGGCCAGGGCUCGCGGGCCCUCGUGGAUGCUGAGGCCCUUCUUGCGACAGGGCCUCUGUCUCUGAGCAACAGGCAUCCGGGCUGUGGCUCCACUAUGAUCUCUUGUGUCCACUCUGACUCCCUGUGAAGGCCGAUGAAGGAGAGUCAGGAAGCCCCCCUCAGAGUCCCUGCGCUCCCUGUGCUGCUGGAGGAUGAGAAGACAAGGUCUGCAGGCUCUGGAUCACUCCCAAGUGGGAGAGACACCACACAACAGGGGGAAGGAGAUGCACUUGACCAACUGUUCCAAGUUUUGCUCUCACUCUCUUCUUAACCACAAGAGAGAGGCUUUGUGGUCAUGUCACCAGGAGUAGUCACCAAGCCACCUCACAGCUGCAGUGACUCUCCCCUGCCAGGUUUAUAAUCUUGCUUGGCAGAUGCAGAAUGGAGAGGGGCUGUGGCACUUCAGGGGGGAAGCGGAAGGGAGAGGCUGGCAGCCACCACACAGAGGACCCCACCUCCACCCUCUGCGCCCAGCUGAAUCUGGCUCGCUCCACUUCUUACGCAGAGAUGCUGGUUCACGAGACAAGCAGCCUUUUAGAGAGGUCUCAGAACAAGGCACCACCCUCUGAAACCGAACUUCACACCUCGCAUCCAAGCUCUAAAAUGUACUUAAAGUCUUCAGCACAGAGUUCACCUGUGUGACUCUAUCCUAAGGACCCCAAAUACAGAGUUUGUGCUCAGCACAAAAAGCUGUGUGACGGGAGCCGCAGGUGAGAAUGCCCGACACUGCCCUCAGUGGAGACAGUCCCUCACAGCUGGUCCAGCCACGGUCAGCAAGAAUCAGGCCAGGAAACCACAUGAGCAGCACAACCAUAGAGACACGCAAUGCCAGGGCAAGAAAGCAUCACCAGGAGGAAAUAGGCGGAAGAAAACAUUAGCCGUUUUUAAAGCAGGAAGAUGAUGAGGAUUGUUCUAAUCUUCCUAAUUCUCUAUUUUCUAAAUGAACUACAUAAGCUUGUUUACUUUUUAAAUUGGGAAAGUCCAGUACAUUUUCUACUUUAAAAGCUUGUCAAGAGAGGUGUGGUGGCACACACCUAUAAUCCUAGCUACUCAGGAGACUGAGGCAGGAGGAUCUCCAGUUUGAGGCAAGCCUAGGCAACGCAGUGAGACCCUGUCUCAAAAUAACACCCAAAGCUUCAGUCAUACAGUCUCAUCUGAUGUUGGCAAGCUGAACACCAAAGUUCUGGAGGGCAAAUGAACAGGAGGAAUUUAGAACAUCAGAAGUCUGCAACCCAUGACCCAGCGAUUCCACUUCUAGAAUUCAACCUAAGGGAAUAAAUAAGGACACACACUAAAAUUUAGGAUUUUCACUGCAACGUUUAGCAUGAGAACCAGAAAGAACAUACAGAAGUCAGUGAGUUGAAUCAGAGUAAAUAACAGAGCACCUCCUGUCCAUUCCCAGGAAGUGGGGUGUGCAGCGACAUGGACAGAUAUGCACAAAACAUCACUGAGAGAAAACAAGCAGAUGACAAAACAUCAGGGUUUCCACUUCUGGACUACUGUGAAUAACACUGCUCUGGGCACUCCUGUCUGAGUUUCUGGAAUAAGCUUCCCUAUGGACACAGGUCUUCAAGUCUCUUGGGUAUGUGCCUGGGGGAGGAACUGGCCCGGCCUUGGUUGACUCUGGGUGUAACUGUUAAGAGAAACUGCCAGCCUGCUUUCCAGAGACGGACUCAGCAGCCUCUGGGAGUCCCCAUUUCCUGCGACUGACCUCUUCAUCACAGACUCUUACAGGGUUAGUUGACAUCUCCCUGAGGACUACUAUGUCAAGCAUUUUUUUCAUGUGCUUAUUAGUCAUUUGCAUAUCUUCUUUGGAGAAAUGUCAAUUCAGAUUCUUUGCCCAUCUUUUAACUGUCCUUUGUUUUUCUUUUUUUCUUUUUUUGCUUGCUGGAGACCAAUCAUAGGGCCUUCCCCAUGCUAAGCAACUGUUCUACCACUAAGACCUAAUUUGUUUUUUUAUUAGGACCUAUUAAAUUUAAAAUGUGAGGCCAAGUGUGGUGGCAUAUGCCUGUAAGUGACUGGAAGCUGAGGCAGGAGGAUAGCCUACAGAUGUAGCUCAGGGGUACAGUGUCCCCCCAACUCCCAUCCCAUCACCAGUACCAAAAAAAAAAGUUCCAAGUGCUAAUGAGUGCUACUCCCUCUUUUAAACAUUUCCCCACAAUAUGUAAAGAUCAUUUUCAAAAUCAUUACAGGAAUAGGAGUUGCUUUUAACUCACCACUGUACCCCUAAUGCCCAAGGCUCCAUUCAACACUUGGCAUCGAUGGAUGUUCAAAGAAAAUGAAUUAACUAAAUAAAUGAAGAACAGUUAUUUCUGUGUAAAAGAAAAUUCUGUUGUAAUUUAUAUUUCAGUGAUGAUUCCUCAUUUGCUGUCACAAAAUUAUAAGCUAAUAAACUGGAUCACUUACAUGGUUCAGAAAAUACUGCACGAUUAUCUCAUGGCCAGCAGCAGCUGCUUCCAUCAAAGGAGUAAAUCCAUAAACUGGCUCCCUACAAGAUGGGCCAUAGGCAGGUGAUUAGCAGAGAGAAGUUCUCCAUGCAAAAGCUCCCCUGCCGAAGACAAAAGCAAGCCAAGACCCAACUGUAGACACAGUGGGUGUGUGUUCCCACUCAAGUGGCACACAGGCACUGUCUCAAGAGAUGGCUAGCUACGAUGGGGCACGCCUGUGAGCCCGCAAUUCACGGGGCUGGUGCAGAGGAUCACAAGUUCAAAGCCAGUUUCAGCAACUCAGCGUGGCACUAAGCAACAUGGUGAGACCCUGUCUCUAAAUAAAUAUAAAAAGAGCCGGGGAUGAGUCUUAAUAGUAAGGUACCCACCCCCCAAAGAAACUAACAAGGUGAGAUUAAAGUGAACGUGACGCAUGAGUUUCAUUAACUCCCCUGGAUCCACUGCCUCUCAUCCUCCCUCCUCUAAAGCUGUUCUCACCUACUUCUCCUACACUCCCACUUUAAUCAUGGUCAACAAGCAGCUCCUGCUCUUUACCCCCCAGAAAGCUGUCUCCCUCUUAUCUACCCGAAUCCCAACUUCUGAAUGUGACAUCCUCACAAAAUGCUCAAGGCCCUCGCCUGCCCUUCCGUGCUUAGGACCCACUGGCAGCUUAUUUUGUGUCGUCAUUGUUAUCCUACAUUUCCUGCUGGUCUAGAAGCCAGGAUCCAUGCUAAAUGCUGCUUCUCAUCCGUUCUAAAAUACACAUUUUU